AUUGAACGCUGGCGGCAGGCUUAACACAUGCAAGUCGAGCGGGGGAGGUUGCUUCGGUAACUGACCUAGCGGCGAACGGGUGAGUAAUGCUUAGGAAUCUGCCUAUUAGUGGGGGACAACGUUCCGAAAGGAACGCUAAUACCGCAUACGCCCUACGGGGGAAAGCAGGGGAUCUUCGGACCUUGCGCUAAUAGAUGAGCCUAAGUCGGAUUAGCUAGUUGGUGGGGUAAAGGCCUACCAAGGCGACGAUCUGUAGCGGGUCUGAGAGGAUGAUCCGCCACACUGGGACGGAGACACGGCCCAGACUCCUACGGGAGGCAGCAGUGGGGAAUAUUGGACAAUGGGCGGAAGCCUGAUCCAGCCAUGCCGCGUGUGUGAAGAAGGCCUUUUGGUUGUAACGCACUUUAAGCGAGGAGGAGGCUCCUUUAGUUAAUACCUAAAGUGAGUGGACGUUACUCGCAGAAUAAGCACCGGCUAACUCUGUGCCAGCCGCCGCAGUAA
RNAcentral lists this ribosomal RNA (501 nucleotides) under uncultured bacterium. RNAcentral describes it as "partial 16S ribosomal RNA". It matches the Rfam family "Bacterial small subunit ribosomal RNA", at positions 30 to 523 of the family's 1533-position model. The record is from RNAcentral.